CCCGGCUGAGGUCACAGGCGGCGCGACCACAUUUAUUGGCAACAAUUGUUUUCUAAUUGGCGGCAGGUCAGAGAAUGAGUUAGACUUUUGACCUGAUGCUUGGAGGUCGGAGCGCAACUUCUUCAGGAGGACAGACUUUCCACUGCUAAGUGCGGCCCCGGCGGGAGGGUGCCGGGGUCCAGGUCUAAGGAGCGGCGCCGGGCGGCGGGGCUGGAUUGGGUGGUGCAAAUUCAGCGAACGCGCUUAAGACGCACUCCUUUCCGGUCACCUACUCUCUCUUCAUGGUGGGAACUGUUUGUGUCCAGAAUUAAGCUAUAUUUAAUAAAGGGCCAGGAUGAGGUGGUCGUGCAGCAUUUUGUUCUGGAGAACCCAGGAUCAACUGUAUGUCACAACAUAUUCCGUAGGCGUUCCCGUUCCCGUCCAUGGGCUGGGAAGAGACAGUAAACUUUACCGUGAUGUUUGGGGACUGGUACGAAAGACUUGAAGAAGCUGGCCACCUGGAAACAACAAUAGAUGCAGACAAAACCAGCCCCAACAAAAGACUUCUCUAACCAAAGGACCAGGAAAACGUUCUGUCUGACCUAGUAAGACAGAAAACUUUUAGACAGUUCUACUCCAGCCAAAUACUGUAGAAAAAGCUAUGGCUUUAUCUCCAUUAGCAAAGGCCAAGUGGGAAUCCUAGACUUCUACCCUCCAAAGGCUGUAACAAGGUGCUCCAACAUUCUACUGAUACCAAGGCCAGGUAAGGAUCUGAAACUUUCAUCUCUGGUGGCCACUGAGGUCACUCCCAGCCCAGUGGUAUCAGUGGAGGCCACAAGGGGAGCCUGGACUUCCAUGCCUGCCAGCAGUAAUGAAGCACUCUUCUCCCUCCCUGCUUGGUGUGGUAGCAGAGGAGGCAUAGUGGAGAGCCAGGACUUUCAUUAUUGCCCAGCAUAUAUGACGCUACCCUCACCAUGGGGAACUGGAACUCUCAUCCCUGCCCCGCAGUAAUGAGGAGCUCCUCACCCACCAGAUGUCGAAGGAGGCCAAGUGGAGAACUUGGACUUCUAUCAGAUAGCAAUGAGGUGGCACCACUCCCCUACAUCAUUCCUUGCUGGAGUGUUGUCAGAAAAAGCCGGUUAAAACAGAAGGUGCAAGUCAAAAUCAAUUAAUGUAAUCCAUCAUAUUAACAGGCUAAAUAAUAAAAAUCACAUGAUCAUAUAGAUGCAUAAAAGGCAUUUCACAAAAUACACUCAUACAUAGUUAAAAAAAAAAAAGCUAACUCUCGGAAAACCAGAAGUAGAGGGAACCUUCCUCAGUUUGAUAAAGUGUAUCCACAAAAUUCCUACAGAACACUUUUGCCUUAGGAACAAGGUAAGGAAGUCUGCUCUUAUCACCCUUAUUCAACACAGCGCUGAAACUUCUAGUCAGUGCAAUAAGGCAUGAUAAAGAAACAAAAGGCAUGUGAUCAAAAGGAAGAAAUCCAACUGUCCUUAUUUGCAGAUGAGAUGGUUGUUCAUAUAGACUCUGAAGGAAUUUACAAAAAAACUAGAACCAACAAGUGAGUUUAGCAAGUUUUCAGGAUGUAAGAUCAACAUACAAAAAUCUAUUUCUAUGUGCUAGCAAUAAACAUGUGAACACCAAAAAUUAAAAAUUCUAUUUACAAA
Molecule: long non-coding RNA, 1646 nt
Organism: Gorilla gorilla gorilla (western lowland gorilla)
Lineage: Eukaryota; Metazoa; Chordata; Mammalia; Primates; Hominidae
Exons: 2
Source: RefSeq, a predicted model, not a curated record